This 427-nucleotide ribosomal RNA is filed under the name uncultured bacterium. RNAcentral's name for it is "partial 16S ribosomal RNA". It matches the Rfam family "Bacterial small subunit ribosomal RNA", at positions 355 to 774 of the family's 1533-position model. The record is from RNAcentral.
UGGGGAAUAUUGCACAAUGGGCGCAAGCCUGAUGCAGCCAUGCCGCGUGUAUGAAGAAGGCCUUCGGGUUGUAAAGUACUUUCAGCGGGGAGGAAGGCGAUAAGGUUAAUAACCUUGUCGAUUGACGUUACCCGCAGAAGAAGCACCGGCUAACUCCGUGCCAGCAGCCGCGGUAAUACGGAGGGUGCAAGCGUUAAUCGGAAUUACUGGGCGUAAAGCGCACGCAGGCGGUCUGUCAAGUCGGAUGAGAAAUCCCCGGGCUCAACCUGGGAACUGCAUUCGAAACUGGCAGGCUAGAGUCUUGUAGAGGGGGGUAGAAUUCCAGGUGUAGCGGUGAAAUGCGUAGAGAUCUGGAGGAAUACCGGUGGCGAAGGCGGCCCCCUGGACAAAGACUGACGCUCAGGUGCGAAAGCGUGGGGAGCAAACA